UCUUCCGCAAUGGACGAAAGUCUGACGGAGCAACGCCGCGGGAGAGAUGAAGGGUUCCGGAUCGUAAAACUUUGUUGUUAGGGAAGAACAAGUACCGUUCGAAUAGGGCGGCACCUUGACGGUACCUAACCAGAAAGCCACGGCUAACUACGUGCCAGCAGCCGCGGUAAUACGUAGGUUGCAAGCGUUGUCCGGAAUUAUUGGGCGUAAAGCGCGCGCAGGCGGUUUCUUAAGUCUGAUGUGAAAGCCCCCGGCUCAACCGGGGAGGGUCAUUGGAAACUGGGGAACUUGAGUGCAGAAGAGGAGAGUGGAAUUCCACGUGUAGCGGUGAAAUGCGUAGAGAUGUGAAGGAACACCAGUGGCGAAGGCGACUCUCUGGUCUGUAACUGACGCUGAGGCGCGAAAGCGUGGGGAGCGAACAG
This 422-nucleotide ribosomal RNA is filed under the name uncultured bacterium. Its description in RNAcentral is "bacterial SSU rRNA". It matches the Rfam family "Bacterial small subunit ribosomal RNA", at positions 362 to 775 of the family's 1533-position model. The record is from RNAcentral.